RNAcentral lists this small RNA (29 nucleotides) under Bombyx mori (domestic silkworm). RNAcentral describes it as "piRNA piR-bmo-1597632". Lineage: Eukaryota; Metazoa; Arthropoda; Insecta; Lepidoptera; Bombycidae. The record is from RNAcentral.
UCCUAUUGCUUGGACUGUGCCUCCUAAUC